CAAACGGGUGCGGAACACGUACGCAAUCUACCCAAAACUGGUGAAUAGCCCUCCGAAAGGAGGAUUAAUACACCGUAACUUAAUGAAGUGGCAUCACUUUAUUAAUAUAGCUCCGGCGGUUUUGGAUGAGCGUGCGGCUGAUUAGGUAGUUGGUUGGGGUAACGGCCCACCAAGCCUGCGAUCAGUAACUGGUGUGAGAGCACGACCAGUCACACGGGCACUGAGACACGGGCCCG
RNAcentral lists this ribosomal RNA (236 nucleotides) under uncultured bacterium. Its description in RNAcentral is "partial 16S ribosomal RNA". It matches the Rfam family "Bacterial small subunit ribosomal RNA", at positions 99 to 334 of the family's 1533-position model. The record is from RNAcentral.